UGGGGAAUUUUGGACAAUGGGGGAAACCCUGAUCCAGCCAUCCCGCGUGUGCGAUGAAGGCCUUCGGGUUGUAAAGCACUUUUGGCAGGAAAGAAACGUCAUGGGUUAAUACCCCGUGAAACUGACGGUACCUGCAGAAUAAGCACCGGCUAACUACGUGCCAGCAGCCGCGGUAAUACGUAGGGUGCAAGCGUUAAUCGGAAUUACUGGGCGUAAAGCGUGCGCAGGCGGUUCGGAAAGAAAGAUGUGAAAUCCCAGAGCUCAACUUUGGAACUGCAUUUUUAACUACCGGGCUAGAGUCUGUCAGAGGGAGGUGGAAUUCCGCGUGUAGCAGUGAAAUGCGUAGAUAUGCGGGGGAACACCGAUGGCGAAGGCAGCCUCCUGGGAUAACACUGACGCUCAUGCACGAAAGCGUGGGGAGCAAACAGG
RNAcentral lists this ribosomal RNA (429 nucleotides) under Acidobacteriota bacterium. RNAcentral's name for it is "Acidobacteria bacterium partial 16S ribosomal RNA". It matches the Rfam family "Bacterial small subunit ribosomal RNA", at positions 355 to 776 of the family's 1533-position model. Lineage: Bacteria; Pseudomonadati; Acidobacteriota. The record is from RNAcentral.